RNAcentral lists this transfer RNA (63 nucleotides) under Rattus norvegicus (Norway rat). It matches the Rfam family "tRNA", at positions 1 to 62 of the family's 71-position model. From Rfam's summary of the family: Transfer RNA (tRNA) molecules are approximately 80 nucleotides in length. The record is from Rfam by way of RNAcentral. Lineage: Eukaryota; Metazoa; Chordata; Mammalia; Rodentia; Muridae.
GGGGACUUAGCUCAGUGGUAGAGCGCUUGCCUAGCAAGCGCAAGGUCCUGGGUUCGGUCCCCA